Molecule: ribosomal RNA, 429 nt
Filed under: Chloroflexota bacterium
Lineage: Bacteria; Bacillati; Chloroflexota
Description: Chloroflexi bacterium partial 16S ribosomal RNA
Rfam family: Bacterial small subunit ribosomal RNA
Source: RNAcentral
UGGGGAAUAUUGCACAAUGGGCGCAAGCCUGAUGCAGCCAUGCCGCGUGUAUGAAGAAGGCCUUCGGGUUGUAAAGUACUUUCAGCGGGGAGGAAGGGAGUAAAGUUAAUACCUUUGCUCAUUGACGUUACCCGCAGAAGAAGCACCGGCUAACUCCGUGCCAGCAGCCGCGGUAAUACGGAGGGUGCAAGCGUUAAUCGGAAUUACUGGGCGUAAAGCGCACGCAGGCGGUUUGUUAAGUCAGAUGUGAAAUCCCCGGGCUCAACCUGGGAACUGCAUCUGAUACUGGCAAGCUUGAGUCUCGUAGAGGGGGGUAGAAUUCCAGGUGAAGCGGUGAAAUGCGUAGAGAUCUGGAGGAAUACCGGUGGCGAAGGCGGCCCCCUGGACAAAGACUGACGCUCAGGUGCGAAAGCGUGGGGAGCAAACAGG